This 92-nucleotide transfer RNA is filed under the name Sulfuriferula sp. Its description in RNAcentral is "tRNA-Ser". It matches the Rfam family "tRNA". From Rfam's summary of the family: Transfer RNA (tRNA) molecules are approximately 80 nucleotides in length. Their secondary structure includes four short double-helical elements and three loops (D, anti-codon, and T loops). Lineage: Bacteria; Pseudomonadati; Pseudomonadota; Betaproteobacteria; Nitrosomonadales; Sulfuricellaceae. The record is from RNAcentral.
GGAGAUGUGGUAGAGUGGUCUAAUACGCUACCCUGCUAAGGUAGAGCCUGACGUAAGUUGGGCCGUGAGUUCGAAUCUCACCGUCUCCGCCA